This 1884-nucleotide long non-coding RNA is filed under the name Orbicella faveolata. RNAcentral describes it as "uncharacterized LOC110061413". The record is from RNAcentral. Lineage: Eukaryota; Metazoa; Cnidaria; Anthozoa; Scleractinia; Merulinidae.
CCCUCGGGACUGCGUUACUGUAUUGAUCACUAUGUGGGAACAACUUAGUCGCUGCAAUUAGUUCUCCCUACGGAGAUUUCAAUUUUUUAGUUAUAACUUGUUGCUGAAUAGGCUUUUAUUAAAAAUGCUAUGGGAGUGAGAUUGUUAUUUGAUGAUAUACACUUUUUUUAUUUCGUAGGUUCGAAGAAGAUAUAUUAGGCACACAAAAGUUGUGAUGUAUAUUUUCUUCUUUAAUAGUUUACAAAGUAUUUUCUCGUAGUUCAGCCCGAGGGUUUAGGUUACAUGACCAUAGUUCAAAGGCAACCAGGCUGAGCUGGUUAAUGCUUUCUGAAAUCAAUUCACAACAAUGGAGAAAGACGGCAUGGAGCGUCCGAAUCAAUACACAUUCUUGCCAUGUAUGUACUGCUUUCUAACCAAGUUCUAGUCUUCUUUUUUUAUACCAUUUUGAAUUGGAAGAAAGAUUGUAUUUUCUUCUGACUCGAUGGACGGUGCUCUGUUACAAUAGCUUUGUUUCUUGCCAGUUGGCCAGCGAGGAAAUAGUCCAUACCUAAGACUAAUAUUUACUUCGGUUAGCCUUGAAGACCAACAAAGAAUAAACACAACGAAAUGAUUUUCUGGUCGAGGCAUGCUUGCCAUCGAUGGUAAGCGACUAAUGACUGACUGCCUUGUAUCUUUUGCCUUAAUAUGCACUACUGCAGUUGAUAACGAAUUGUAACCAACAGCACACGGUUUUCUGUGUUCCCAGCAUGGCGAUCAAGUUUCACAAUAGCACAACGCAAAGGGCUUAGUCCUUAGCAAAGUGCGCCAGAAGAAUCCGUUCUUUGCCGAGCUAAGAUAUGUGUAAAUACCUUAAACAGAAGCCUUACACCUUAAAAUCUAGACACACACAAAGUGUUUUUAGAACGCCGUGACAAGCCAGAUUUAUUGAGUGCAAACUUGGUAAAACUGGAGUCUUUUUGAAGGAUUAAACCUUGACUCUGUAAUAUUGGUGAUGCAAUUCAGGAACGCUUUGUUCCAACUGCGAUUGCCAUUUUGUAGGUGUAAUGUUUAAAUCUGCAAGUGCAAUUUUCGAUUUUUUAGCACUGAACGAGUUUUGACUCAUCACCAGGUAUCAGUAAUGUAUAAGAGCUUGGUGUUUCAACAAUCAAGGGGACGAUAACCGUUUUCCUAGAAAUCGAGUAACAAGUCACGCGGGAACGGUUUCUAAGAAAUUGCAUGUGGCGAAGGUCAAAUUUUAGUAAUUUAAAACGAUUCGCGCCGAUAAAACAGUACCUUUCAUUCAUUCAAUGCAUGCACUGGAUUCAUAGAUUUUGUCUAAUAUAUCCAAGUGAUUUUAGGUUGGUUGGUGAGAGAUUGGUUAAGUCUUCGCGGAUGCUGACGGCUACUGUUCAGGAAUGGCGUGAUGUGGGAUGCAUGAGGUUCGCUUGGCCAUAAACACACUGGAAGCUAGGGCUUAUUUCUGAGGACAUCUUCAGCCAUGUUCUCAGAGCAACCAAUUAGUUUGUUCAAAUGGCCACCAAAAGGUACCUCACUAUAAAGACUGUUAUCUCGAGCAACCAGUACGCAGUAGACAAGUACUGCGAUCAGUUAACAGUCGUGAUUCAGCCUAGUACAGCGAUCACUGGUUGACGGUCAUAUGUAGGUCUUAUUGUGGCGGUGUUUGCUUUUAAAACACGUACCGAGAAAACAGAAUGUCUGUCUUUUUUGAUAGACUACGAUAGGAAUUUUGAAACAUUUAUUGGAGCAAUCAACAGAUCGUGCCAUUUCAAAAACCAGAUCACUAUGCUUGAAUAAUGGCCAUGGAUCAUACUUAGUGUGUUAAAUGAGCGGUUGAUGUCUGAUUUAUACCUUGCCCUCGCCUAGCGGUUUCGUCAGUAUCAGACG